UGUGGUAUAGCUCAAUGGGUAGAGCACGUGCUUAGUUUAGCAUGCACAAGGUCCUGGGUUCAAUCCCCAGUACCUCCU
Molecule: transfer RNA, 78 nt
Organism: Camelus ferus (Wild Bactrian camel)
Lineage: Eukaryota; Metazoa; Chordata; Mammalia; Artiodactyla; Camelidae
Rfam family: tRNA
About the family: Transfer RNA (tRNA) molecules are approximately 80 nucleotides in length. Their secondary structure includes four short double-helical elements and three loops (D, anti-codon, and T loops).
Source: Rfam